UCUAUAUAUUGCGAAUGUCCACAGUCCAAUCUCCCUACACCUUCAACCCACACACACUUACACAGUUAACACAAAAAAUCUACCUCAUCUCAGCUUCCACCACACACCUCUCUUUCUCCUUCGCAACCACCACCAUCUGAAAGGGCUGAUCAAUUUGCAUUUUGGGAAGGCUAAAUGAGACCACCACCCGGGCCACCAGGGCCACCCGGUCCACCUGGUCCAUUAUUUCCAGGGGGCUUUCUCGGUGGUUUUGUUAAUGGCUUGUGCUCCACUGUAUCUUCUUGGUUAGUAUCAUUCCUUUCAUCUUCUACUCUGUUUAUAUCGUUAGUAUCAAAACCCCGACUGUACAUAAUGGAGUCACUCUCUCCCAUACCCGUAGGUUUCUUCAACUGGGGGUUGAUAAAGGUGAGAUUGAUGAUUUUUACCAGUAACCUAGCAAGUGCAUGGCUGAUUAUUCACUUCUUUAGGCAAAGCUUGUUUAUUACAACAUAUUUUAUAUUUUCUAAAUUGUUUCUUUGACAGAUUUCACAAUCAUCUCAAUUUGAACACUAUCUAGUGAGAAAACUCUGCAUCAUUGCGUUAAUUUGUGCGAAGACUACGGAAAAUUUUCUUCAUAACUUACUCUUUGUAUUAUGCUUUUGCAGCUUCUACUUCUUGUGCUGUUGCUGCCUACUGCAAGACUGCUUCGGUGGUCCUCCCCAGCCGGCUGGGCCACCUGGGCCACCUGGGCCUCCUCCCCCACCCCCUUCUGCACCUCCUCCGCUAGCACCUGGGCCUCCUCUUCCGCCUGGUCCGCCUCUGGGACCUUUUUUCGGUCCACCAGACCCACCAGGUUCUCCUGGACCACCUGGUUUCCCACCAGGACCUCCUGGCCCACCUGGUGGCCCACCAGGACCUCCUGGCCCACCUGGUGGCCCACCAGGACCUCCUGGCCCACCUGGAUGGUGACAGGGGCCCUCAACUUCUAACCCAUAUUUCACCUUAUUUGCUAGAGAUGUGUGUAUUGAGAGUUGAACCAGUUUUCUUGGGUUUCUCUCUUUCUAUUAAUGUCCUCUAAUUUUAUAUAUCAUUUUAUGAAUCAUGUA
This 1085-nucleotide long non-coding RNA is filed under the name Vitis vinifera (wine grape). Its description in RNAcentral is "long non-coding RNA (VVIN_LNC001310)". The record is from RNAcentral. Lineage: Eukaryota; Viridiplantae; Streptophyta; Magnoliopsida; Vitales; Vitaceae.